This 207-nucleotide ribosomal RNA is filed under the name uncultured bacterium. RNAcentral describes it as "partial 16S ribosomal RNA". It matches the Rfam family "Bacterial small subunit ribosomal RNA", at positions 568 to 774 of the family's 1533-position model. The record is from RNAcentral.
CUCGUAGGUGGCCAACUAAGUCAGACGUGAAAUCCCUCGGCUUAACCGGGGGACUGCGUCUGAUACUGGAUGGCUUGAGUUUGGGAGAGGGACGCGGAAUUCCAGGUGUAGCGGUGAAAUGCGUAGAUAUCUGGAGGAACACCGGUGGCGAAGGCGGCGUCCUGGACCAACACUGACACUGAUGAGCGAAAGCCAGGGGAGCAAACG